RNAcentral lists this ribosomal RNA (253 nucleotides) under uncultured bacterium. Its description in RNAcentral is "partial 16S ribosomal RNA". It matches the Rfam family "Bacterial small subunit ribosomal RNA", at positions 524 to 776 of the family's 1533-position model. The record is from RNAcentral.
UACGUAGGGGGCUAGCGUUGUCCGGAAUCAUUGGGCGUAAAGCGCGUGUAGGCGGUCCGGUAAGUCCGCUGUGAAAGUCGGGGGCUCAACCCUCGGAUGCCGGUGGAUACUGUCGGGCUUGAGUACGGAAGAGGCGAGUGGAAUUCCUGGUGUAGCAGUGAAAUGCGUGGAUAUCGAGAAGAACACUUAGGGCGUAGGCAAGACUCUGGACAAAUGCUGACGCUCAUGCACGAAGGCUAGGGUAGCGAACGGG